RNAcentral lists this ribosomal RNA (492 nucleotides) under uncultured bacterium. RNAcentral describes it as "partial 16S ribosomal RNA". It matches the Rfam family "Bacterial small subunit ribosomal RNA", at positions 29 to 507 of the family's 1533-position model. The record is from RNAcentral.
AGUGAACGCUGGCGGUAGGCCUAACACAUGCAAGUCGAACGGCAGCACAGUAAGAGCUUGCUCUUACGGGUGGCGAGUGGCGGACGGGUGAGGAAUACAUCGGAAUCUACUUUUUCGUGGGGGAUAACGUAGGGAAACUUACGCUAAUACCGCAUACGACCUACGGGUGAAAGCAGGGGAUCUUCGGACCUUGCGCGAUUGAAUGAGCCGAUGUCGGAUUAGCUAGUUGGCGGGGUAAAGGCCCACCAAGGCGACGAUCCGUAGCUGGUCUGAGAGGAUGAUCAGCCACACUAGAACUGAGACGCGGUCCAGACUCCUACGGGAGGCAGCAGUGGGGAAUAUUGGACAAAGGGCGCAAGCCUGAUCCAGCCAUACCGCGUGGGUGAAGAAGGCCUUCGGGUUGUAAAGCCCUUUUGUUGGGAAAGAAAAGCAGCAGGUUAAUACCCCGCUGUUCUGACGGUACCCAAAGAAUAAGCACCGGCUAACUUCGUG